UUUGAGGAAUGGGGACAGUGGCAUAGGCAAGGCAGCCAAAAGCCUUUAAAUGAGAGUAAGUGGGUGCCUUACCAUGCAAGAUUUCAUAAGGGUACUUACCAUGAAGGAGCCUAGAGGGUAUUCUGUUAAUAAGAUAGGUAGCAGUUAACAGGCAAUCACCCCAAAAAGAGAUAGGUAAACUAGACUGGAAGAGUAAGGCUCUACAGGUUUCAAGUAGAGUUUUAUGUUUUCUUUCAACAACACCAUUCUGUUGAGGAGUAUGUGGGCAAGUGGUUUGGUGUAUGAUGCUAUGUUGGUUAAAAAAGGAUGUGCCAGCAAUGCUAGAACCCAAUUCUAAAGCAUUGUCACUCCUAAUAGUUUGAACAUUUGCAUUAUACUGUGUCUUGACCAUACAGAGAAAAGAUUGAAGCACGCAGAAAGCAUUGCUUUUAGACCUAACAGAUGUGUCCAGGUUGCCCUAGAAAAAUCAUCAACUAUUGUGAGAAAAUAUCUAGUAUGCAGAAAGCAUUGGUUUUAGACCCUAACAGAUGUGUCCAGGUUCCCCGAGAAAAAUCAUCAACUAUUGUGAGAAAAUAUCUAGAACCAGAAGAGGUGGGGGUAUGAUAAGGUCCCCAAGUAUCUACAUGAAUCAAUUGAAAAGGUCUAGAUGUAUUAGUAGUGCUUUCAGGAAAGGGAAGCCUAGUUUGCAUGGCCAUUGGACAGGUAGAACAUUGAAAAGGCUGUUUAGAGGCAAAUGGAAAAGAUAAAGCAGAAAUGUAUUUCAUGUUUGCAAAAGGUAUAUGACCCAACCUUAAGUGUCAAAUGUAAUUCAUGUCAGUGGCAACAUUAUUAUUACACAUGGAACUGUUUACAUUCAAAGGCAAACUAACAGCUUGAUUACUAGAAUAGUCAGGUUUACAAGAAUUAGAAGAAGAAGAGCAUACAGAAACAGAAGAACAGCAAUUAGAAGAAGAUGAAGGUGGCACCCAAACAAGCUUGUACAGACCAGCCUCCUCUUUACCAAGAUCCAGAGGCAUCCUCAGAGAAGGGGUUUGUAACAAGUGAAGUAAACAGGAAGUUGCAGUGAACAAUACUAUACAAUGCAACUGUUUCACUAACUUGUGGACAAAAAUCAAGUUAUGUUUGAAAGAAGGAACAAGUAGGACAUCAUGAAGAGUGAUGAAUGGAUUUAAUGCAAAAGAUCCUGUGCAUGUCACUUUCACUUUGUAUCCAUCGGGAAGAGUAACAAGAUAGGGUACAGUUAAAGGUAUGAGAUUGAAGAGUAAAUCCUUGUUAAAAGUCAUAUGGUUAGAUGCUCCUGAAU
RNAcentral lists this long non-coding RNA (1303 nucleotides) under Nicotiana benthamiana. Its description in RNAcentral is "long non-coding RNA (NBEN_LNC016306)". Lineage: Eukaryota; Viridiplantae; Streptophyta; Magnoliopsida; Solanales; Solanaceae. The record is from RNAcentral.